RNAcentral lists this ribosomal RNA (469 nucleotides) under uncultured bacterium. RNAcentral describes it as "partial 16S ribosomal RNA". It matches the Rfam family "Bacterial small subunit ribosomal RNA", at positions 28 to 507 of the family's 1533-position model. The record is from RNAcentral.
GACGAACGCUGGCGGCGUGCUUAACACAUGCAAGUCGAACGGAAAGGCCCUGCUUGCAGGGUGCUCGAGUGGCGAACGGGUGAGUAACACGUGGGUGAUCUGCCCCUUAUUUUGGGAUAAGCCUGGGAAACUGGGUCUAAUACUGGAUAGGACCAUGCUGUAGGUGGUGUGGUGGAAAGAUUAGUUUCGGUAAGGGAUGAGCUCGCGGCCCAUCAGCUUGUUGGUGGGGUAAUGGCCUACCAAGGCGUCGACGGGUAGCCGGCCUGAGAGGGUGGACGGCCACAUUGGGACUGAGAUACGGCCCAGACUCCUACGGGAGGCAGCAGUGGGGAAUAUUGCACAAUGGGCGCAAGCCUGAUGCAGCGACGCCGCGUGGGGGAUGACGGCCUUCGGGUUGUAAACUCCUUUCAGCCAUGACGAAGCCCUUGUGGUGACGGUAGUGGUAGAAGAAGCACCGGCUAACUACGUG